AUUCCAGCUCCAAUAGCGUAUAUUAAAGUUGUUGCAGUUAAAAAGCUCGUAGCUGAAUUUUGGACUUGGCUGGGCGGUCUUUGCGAAUGCAUUGCACUUCUCUGGCUGAGUCUUUCCUUCUGGCGAACUAUUGUGCUAUUUAUUUAGUGCGAUUGGGAACCAGGACUUUUACUUUGAAAAAAUUAGAGUGUUUAAAGCAGGCUUACGCUUGAAUACAUUAGCAUGGAAUAAUAAAAUAGGACUUUGGUUUUAUUUUGUUGGUUUUCGAAACCAAAGUAAUGAUUAAUAGGGAUAGUUGGGGGCAUUACUAUUAUCGCGUCAGAGGUGAAAUUCUUGGAUUGCGAUAAGAGUAACUACUGCGAAAGCAUUUGCCAAGGAUGUUUUCAUCG
RNAcentral lists this ribosomal RNA (389 nucleotides) under Chytridiomycetes sp. Its description in RNAcentral is "partial small subunit ribosomal RNA". It matches the Rfam family "Eukaryotic small subunit ribosomal RNA", at positions 582 to 975 of the family's 1831-position model. Lineage: Eukaryota; Fungi; Chytridiomycota; Chytridiomycetes. The record is from RNAcentral.